UGGUCUAGUGGUAGAAUAACCGCCUCCCACGCGGUUGACCCGGGUUCGAUUCCCG
This 55-nucleotide transfer RNA is filed under the name uncultured Micromonas. It matches the Rfam family "tRNA", at positions 8 to 62 of the family's 71-position model. Rfam says of the family: Transfer RNA (tRNA) molecules are approximately 80 nucleotides in length. Their secondary structure includes four short double-helical elements and three loops (D, anti-codon, and T loops). Further hydrogen bonds mediate the characteristic L-shaped molecular structure. tRNAs have two regions of fundamental functional importance: the anti-codon, which is responsible for specific mRNA codon recognition, and the 3' end, to which the tRNAs corresponding amino acid is attached (by aminoacyl-tRNA synthetases). tRNAs cope with the degeneracy of the genetic code in two manners: having more than one tRNA (with a specific anti-codon) for a particular amino acid; and 'wobble' base-pairing, i.e. permitting non-standard base-pairing at the 3rd anti-codon position. The record is from RNAcentral. Lineage: Eukaryota; Viridiplantae; Chlorophyta; Mamiellophyceae; Mamiellales.